Sapajus apella (tufted capuchin) is the source of this 105-nucleotide long non-coding RNA. RefSeq lists it as uncharacterized. Lineage: Eukaryota; Metazoa; Chordata; Mammalia; Primates; Cebidae. The transcript is spliced from 3 exons. The record is from RefSeq and is a predicted model, not a curated record.
UUGGCCGAUAUCUAAAAAUGAAUAACGACAGCUUGUGAGGUUGGAAGCAAGACGGAGUCAGCUAUGUCAGAUUUCUUUCACAGUCAUAAUUUUUGCAAAGGUGGU